UUCUCCAUUUGUUCAUCAGCAGCCUCCAGCU
RNAcentral lists this non-coding RNA (31 nucleotides) under Mus musculus (house mouse). The record is from RNAcentral. Lineage: Eukaryota; Metazoa; Chordata; Mammalia; Rodentia; Muridae.